This 75-nucleotide transfer RNA is filed under the name bacterium (Candidatus Gribaldobacteria) CG_4_10_14_0_2_um_filter_33_15. RNAcentral's name for it is "tRNA-Arg". It matches the Rfam family "tRNA". From Rfam's summary of the family: Transfer RNA (tRNA) molecules are approximately 80 nucleotides in length. Their secondary structure includes four short double-helical elements and three loops (D, anti-codon, and T loops). The record is from RNAcentral. RNAcentral also lists the same sequence under 3 other names. Lineage: Bacteria; Candidatus Gribaldobacteria.
GCCCUCGUAGCUUAAUGGAUUUAAAGCAGUCCCGUCCUAAGGGAAAGACUGGGGGUUCGAAUCCUCCCGGGGGCA